UACGGAGGGUGCAAGCAUUGAUCGGAAUUACUGGGCGUAAAGGGCGCGUAGGCGGUCUUGAAAGUCAGAUGUGAAAUUCCGGGGCUCAACCCCGGAGCUGCAUUUGAGACUUCAAGGCUAGAGGACAGUUAGGGUAAACGGAAUUCCACGUGUAGCGGUGAAAUGCGUAGAUAUGUGGAAGAACACCAGUGGUGAAGACGGUUUACUGGGCUGUAACUGACGCUGAGGCGCGAAAGCUAGGGGAGCAAACAGG
Molecule: ribosomal RNA, 253 nt
Filed under: uncultured bacterium
Lineage: Bacteria
Description: partial 16S ribosomal RNA
Rfam family: Bacterial small subunit ribosomal RNA
Source: RNAcentral